AAUUCCUGCUCAGGACGAACGCUGGCGGCGUGCCUAAUACAUGCAGUCGACGCUUCUUUCCUCCCGAGUGCUUGCACUCAAUUGGAAAGAGGAGUGGCGGACGGGUGAGUAACACGUGGGUAACCUACCCAUCAGAGGGGGAUAACACUUGGAAACAGGUGCUAAUACCGCAUAACAGUUUAUGCCGCAUGGCAUAAGAGUGAAAGGCGCUUUCGGGUGUCGCUGAUGGAUGGACCCGCGGUGCAUUAGCUAGUUGGUGAGGUAACGGCUCACCAAGGCCACGAUGCAUAGCCGACCUGAGAGGGUGAUCGGCCACACUGGGACUGAGACACGGCCCAGACUCCUACGGGAGGCAGCAGUAGGGAAUCUUCGGCAAUGGACGAAAGUCUGACCGAGCAACGCCGCGUGAGUGAAGAAGGUUUUCGGAUCGUAAAACUCUGUUGUUAGAGAAGAACAAGGACGUUAGUAACUGAACGUCCCCUGACGGUAUCUAACCAGAAAGCCACGGCUAACUACGUGCCAGCAGCCGCGGUAAUACGUAGGUGGCAAGCGUUGUCCGGAUUUAUUGGGCGUAAAGCGAGCGCAGGCGGUUUCUUAAGUCUGAUGUGAAAGCCCCCGGCUCAACCGGGGAGGGUCAUUGGAAACUGGGAGACUUGAGUGCAGAAGAGGAGAGUGGAAUUCCAUGUGUAGCGGUGAAAUGCGUAGAUAUAUGGAGGAACACCAGUGGCGAAGGCGGCUCUUCUGGUCUGUAACUACGCUGAGGCUCGAAAGCGUGGGGAGCAAACAGGAUUAGAUACCGGGGGUUAG
This 807-nucleotide ribosomal RNA is filed under the name Enterococcus faecalis. RNAcentral describes it as "bacterial SSU rRNA". It matches the Rfam family "Bacterial small subunit ribosomal RNA", at positions 15 to 793 of the family's 1533-position model. Lineage: Bacteria; Bacillati; Bacillota; Bacilli; Lactobacillales; Enterococcaceae. The record is from RNAcentral.